UACGGAGGGUGCAAGCGUUAUCCGGAUUCACUGGGUUUAAAGGGUGCGUAGGUGGGCAGGUAAGUCAGUGGUGAAAUCUCUGGGCUUAACCCGGAAACUGCCGUUGAUACUAUCUGUCUUGAAUAUAGUGGAGGUGAGCGGAAUAUGUCAUGUAGCGGUGAAAUGCUUAGAUAUGACAUAGAACAUCGAUUGCGAAGGCAGCUCGCUACACUAUGAUUGACACUGAGGCACGAAAAGCGUGGGGGAUCAAACAGG
This 255-nucleotide ribosomal RNA is filed under the name uncultured bacterium. Its description in RNAcentral is "partial 16S ribosomal RNA". It matches the Rfam family "Bacterial small subunit ribosomal RNA", at positions 524 to 776 of the family's 1533-position model. The record is from RNAcentral.